Long non-coding RNA from Eriocheir sinensis (Chinese mitten crab), 487 nucleotides. RefSeq lists it as uncharacterized. Lineage: Eukaryota; Metazoa; Arthropoda; Malacostraca; Decapoda; Varunidae. The transcript is spliced from 3 exons. The record is from RefSeq and is a predicted model, not a curated record.
GGACAACCUACGUAUUAUACGAGAAUCAGACUGGGACAUAUUUCAUUGCUUCCUAGACCGUCAUACGGCAGAGUCCUCCUCUUGACUUUCUAUUGUAAAGCCUAUUGCGCCGGUAGGCUUCUUCCCGGUGGAUCCUGAUGGUCGGUCCAAGGCUUCUUUCCGGAGCUGCCGCUACAAAGGCCUGGCUGGGGAGAAAUCCCGAGUCACCUGUGACAUCAGGAUCAAGAUCAAGAUCAGCCCGUUCUGGCGCAGGCGAGUGUUUAUAGUGGCGCCAUCUUGCAUUGGCUCAUGCUGCCCUCCCAGAGCUAAUCUGUGAUCCUAGAAUCUAGAGUCCGGGUUGAUAGGUGGUCUUCUGGACAGCAUGUGGGUAGUUUUAAGCCACUCGGCGGCGGCUGAAAAAUCCCAGCUUGGUGGCACCGGGCGGGGAUUGAACUCGCGUCCUCCUGAACACGAGGCCGUUACUUUGACGACUCAGCCACCGCCUCCC